UAAAAGGGUCGGUUGGCUAUGUAUGCCACGCCCACCCUUCGUUGGUGGGUGCUGUAUGGCUAUCAAGACAUAUGGCCGACAUAAUUUGUGGGAACCGAUAGGGUUGGCUCGCUCGGCCGACCCUCCA
Molecule: small nuclear RNA, 127 nt
Organism: Elaeis guineensis (African oil palm)
Lineage: Eukaryota; Viridiplantae; Streptophyta; Magnoliopsida; Arecales; Arecaceae
Product: U11 spliceosomal RNA
Source: RefSeq, a predicted model, not a curated record